RNAcentral lists this ribosomal RNA (253 nucleotides) under uncultured bacterium. RNAcentral's name for it is "partial 16S ribosomal RNA". It matches the Rfam family "Bacterial small subunit ribosomal RNA", at positions 524 to 776 of the family's 1533-position model. The record is from RNAcentral.
UACGAAGGGGGCUAGCGUUGUUCGGAAUUACUGGGCGUAAAGAGUUCGUAGGCGGUUUAUUAAGCUAGAUGUGAAAUCCCUGGGCUUAACUCAGGAACUGCAUUUAGAACUGGUAAGCUAGAGAGUGUUAGAGGUUGGUAGAAUUCCUAGUGUAGGGGUGAAAUCCGUAGAUAUUAGGAGGAAUACCGAUGGCGAAGGCAGCCAACUGGGACAUUUCUGACGCUGAGGAACGAAAGCGUGGGUAGCAAACAGG